Molecule: ribosomal RNA, 252 nt
Filed under: uncultured Bacteroidales bacterium
Lineage: Bacteria; Pseudomonadati; Bacteroidota; Bacteroidia; Bacteroidales
Description: partial 16S ribosomal RNA
Rfam family: Bacterial small subunit ribosomal RNA
Source: RNAcentral
UACGGAGGAUGCGAGCGUUAUCCGGAUUUAUUGGGUUUAAAGGGUGCGCAGGCGGAAUGUCAAGUCAGCGGUAAAAUUUCGGGGCUCAACCCCGUCGUGCCGUUGAAACUGGCGUUCUUGAGUGAGCGAGAAGUAUGCGGAAUGCGUGGUGUAGCGGUGAAAUGCAUAGAUAUCACGCAGAACUCCGAUUGCGAAGGCAGCGUGCCGUGCCGCCACUGACGCUGAGGCACGAAAGCGCGGGGAUCGAACAGG